Non-coding RNA from Schistosoma haematobium, 45 nucleotides. The record is from Rfam. Lineage: Eukaryota; Metazoa; Platyhelminthes; Trematoda; Strigeidida; Schistosomatidae.
ACCUUGCUGACGAGUGCCAAAUGGCACGAAAUCCGAGUCCAGGGU